GACGAACGCUGGCGGCGUGCUUAACACAUGCAAGUCGAACGGAAAGGCCCUGCUUUUGUGGGGUGCUCGAGUGGCGAACGGGUGUGUAACACGUGAGUAACCUGCCCUUGACUUUGGGAUAACUCCAGGAAACUGGGGCUAAUACCGGAUAGGAGCUCCUGCUGCAUGGUGGGGGUUGGAAAGUUUCGGUGGUUGGGGAUGGACUCGCGGCUUAUCAGCUUGUUGGUGGGGUAGUGGCUUACCAAGGCUUUGACGGGUAGCCGGCCUGGGAGGGUGACCGGCGACAUUGGGACUGAGAUACGGCCCAGACUCCUACGGGAGGCAGCGGUGGGGAAUAUUGCACAAUGGGCGGAAGCCUGAUGCAGCAACGCCGCGUGCGGGAUGACGGCCUUCGGGUUGUAAACCGCUUUCGCCUGUGACGAAGCGAGAGUGACGGUAAUGGGUAAAGAAGCACCGGCUAACUACGUG
Molecule: ribosomal RNA, 468 nt
Filed under: uncultured bacterium
Lineage: Bacteria
Description: partial 16S ribosomal RNA
Rfam family: Bacterial small subunit ribosomal RNA
Source: RNAcentral